UGACGCCUACGGGAGGCAGCAGUGAGGAAUAUUGGUCAAUGGGCGCGAGCCUGAACCAGCCAAGUCGCGUGAGGGAAGACGGUCCUAUGGAUUGUAAACCUCUUUUGUCGGGGAGCAAAAGACGCCACGCGUGGCGUUCCGAGAGUACCCGAAGAAAAAGCAUCGGCUAACUCCGUGCCAGCAGCCGCGGUAAUACGGAGGAUGCGCGCGUUAUCCGGAUUUAUUGGGUUUA
RNAcentral lists this ribosomal RNA (232 nucleotides) under uncultured bacterium. Its description in RNAcentral is "partial 16S ribosomal RNA". It matches the Rfam family "Bacterial small subunit ribosomal RNA", at positions 333 to 562 of the family's 1533-position model. The record is from RNAcentral.